GACGAACGCUGGCGGCGUGCUUAACACAUGCAAGUCGAACGAUGAAGCCCUUUCGGGGGUGGAUUAGUGGCGAACGGGUGAGUAACACGUGGGUAACCUGCCCUUGGCUUUGGGAUAAGCCCUGGAAACGGGGUCUAAUACCGGAUAUGACCAGUCCUCGCAUGGGGGUUGGUGGAAAGUUCCGGCGGCCAGGGAUGGGCCCGCGGCCUAUCAGCUUGUUGGUGGGGUGAUGGCCUACCAAGGCGACGACGGGUAGCCGGCCUGAGAGGGCGACCGG
RNAcentral lists this ribosomal RNA (277 nucleotides) under uncultured bacterium. Its description in RNAcentral is "partial 16S ribosomal RNA". It matches the Rfam family "Bacterial small subunit ribosomal RNA", at positions 28 to 307 of the family's 1533-position model. The record is from RNAcentral.